Non-coding RNA from Taeniopygia guttata (zebra finch), 1935 nucleotides. Lineage: Eukaryota; Metazoa; Chordata; Aves; Passeriformes; Estrildidae. The record is from RefSeq and is a predicted model, not a curated record.
UAAUUACAUAUGUGGUUGCCAGAAUGGUAAGUGAAAUCUGCACUCAAACUUUACUCUGGAAAGUGAACAGGAAUUUCAUAGUGUCAUGGUUUGACACUGGCACAAUGCCAGUGUCCCCAUGAAAAUGCAUCCUCCCCAAAUGAGUGCAAUCAGGAACAGAGCAGAGCAGGCUCAAGCUUAAAAAUAAAGAAAAGAACUUUAUUAGUCUGCUAUAAUAAAAGACACACACAGAAUCCAGGAGGAAAAGCUUCCAAAACAUUCCUCCUCCCCCCCCCCACCAUUUCCAACAAAACACAGUGAGAUAAACCCUGAAUUCCUGAGGAAGUUCCCACCCCUGAGAUAAUAAAUUCUCAGUUCAUGAAGGGAGGGAGGUGUCCCUCUUGUACCACAGUCUUCCACAGGAAACACAGUUUAAACCUCCCAUGUUUCCAUGUCACACAUGGCACCGCCUGGAACAAAUCUGCCAGUGUGACAUCCUCCUUCCACGUACACUGCUCUCACCACCGUCCAUGGACCGAAAGUGCUCAUAGGGCUCCUUUAAGGAUGCUUCACUAAGUACCAAAGAACAACAGUUUCUCAGUUUGGGACAACAGUCCCCCCCAUUUUCUCCUCCCCUGGGGCCAAGGGUCUUGUGAACAGAGAUCUUCUUCUUCCCUAAAGACAGAGGGCACCACCACACCCUCCUCAUCUUCCUCUGUUCAUUCUAUACCUGUCACUCUCAGUCGCUGAAGCAGGUCACUCCCACUCCUGCACUCUCUUCUCCCAAGUUUUUGCAUCCCCCAAAAAAUGCAGUCUCUAUGUUAAUAAUGCUUCUCUGCAGAGCAGGUCAGAUGAUUUUACCAGGUUUGUUGGCAACAGCUUCUGCAACAAAUGGCUUGUUCUGUAACAUGCAACCUGCUGUCAUCUUCAUAAAUUCAAAAUGACACUCGAAGGGCAUAUGGAAGAUGAAAGAAGAAUUCAAAUAUUUGUUGACUGAGGGCCAGACCAGUUUGCUGUUUCCUUACUGAGACACUGAGAGCAAAGGUGGUGGAGAUGCUGCUGGGGUCAGAAGACUGGAAACUUGAAGCUGACUUGCUGAAAGACAUCUUACUGCAUCUGAAAGAUACCUUUGCUUCUUUGCAUAACCCCUAGCAAAACCUUUGUGCUCUUUGAAGCUGGCAGACUGUUGUUUGCUCUAAUAGUUAUAAAGCCGGUGUUUCAGUUUCCCUCUAAAAGCUGAGUGUGAGUUUCUGUGUACACAGUAUGUGUUCAGAUGUGUAUAAUCCUUUUGAAACCACUCUCUAGGACUGUUCACUUUGUAUAACACCAGGAAUUUGAAUUUUAGUUUGUAGCUGAGUUUAGCUGCUUUUGCUGCAUAAAGUUCUUUGUUCCUGUCUUACAGUCUGCAUUUACAUUAGUAACACAAAAGCAUUUUCUAUGCUUUCUCUCUGGCAUACAUUGUAUAGGCACCAUAAUUGACUUGAAGGGUUUUUCAUCUCUGAGGUGAAUCCUUUUCCUGAAUGCUUUAGAGAAGAAUGUUAGAGGCGGCUGCGGGUACAAUCCUUCCAGAGAGUCUGUGUACAUGUUCAUGUAUAAUACUGACUACAAAUAUUUUAUUUAACCUUAUGCAACCUCAAGCAAAACAGCUUAUGGGAUAAAUAAACUGGGUUACAGAUGCAUCAGACUAUGUUUUUAUGAGUCCAUACAAAAUUUUAAAUCAUUUACUCUUUUCACCUAUUCUCUCUUUGUCUUUUGUUGCUCCAUAUAUUGUCACAGUGACAAGAUAAGUUUGUUUAUCCAGAAAUAAAUUAUAAAUGUAUUUAUAAUUUAUAAAUGUACUUACUUUGUGUUGCUCUUCAUCUCUUCUUCCUCCUAAGGAUCCAAACAAUAAGACAGUAAUGCACAUGCUGCACAUAUCCUAAUGCAUGUUGGCUGCUGAAUAAAUUGUUUUUGCUA